RNAcentral lists this long non-coding RNA (1992 nucleotides) under Ficedula albicollis (Collared flycatcher). RNAcentral describes it as "lncRNA (ENSFALG00000024081.1)". The record is from RNAcentral. Lineage: Eukaryota; Metazoa; Chordata; Aves; Passeriformes; Muscicapidae.
AUGUUUCCUCGGUGGCCACGUCUGGAGGAUUGGCAGAAUGAAUUUCAUAAGCAAUUGCUGAAGGAGAAAUACGGAUCUGUCAUUACAAUGGGAAGAGACUUGUUCCUUGUUCCCAAAACCCAUAUCCCAGUAGGACAGGCGGCGCAGGUCAAGGAUCCGUGGCAUUUGGAGGGAAAGAAAAUUCCUGCCAGCCUCAGCACAGGCCAUGGCGAUGCCACGAUCCAGGCUGCAGGAGGCACACAGCUGCAUGGAUCAUCCUCAGGAGCAUCCCAGGCCUCCCCCUGCCACUACUUGGACCAGGGGGAACCAUCGGGGAGCCGCCAAAAUCCGGCAACAAACCCGGCCGCAAACCCAGCCAAGCUGACGGGAACAGGGAGCAGCAGCAGUGUGCUGGCAGGGCAGGAGGUGGAUGAGUUCAGGCAGUUCCUGCUGGACCACCAGGGCGAGCCCGAGGACGCGGUGGUGCCGUGGUUCAUCUGCACCGAGUGCGGGAAGAGCUUUGCCCGCCACGCCUACCUGCUGCGGCACCGGCGCGCCUGCCGAGGGCAAAGGCGCCUUCCACGGGCCCCCCGGAGCUCGCUCCUGCCCUCCCUGCCUGCCUGGGCUAGGCACGUGCUGGCAGCUCUCAAAAAUCCUGCUCCGCCCAGAGUUGGGAUUUGAGUGCGUUAGAGUGGAGUUGGGGGGGAUAAGGCAGUUUUCCCAAAUUGAAUCGAGUUCCGGUUCAAUUUGGUGCUGGCCUAAUGGGCGUUGAUUAGGACCUGGAUCAUCGCUGUCAUUCUUACCGUGCUCCAUCCAGCUCCUCCUGGGAGCAGGAGUUGGAUAGAGCAGCAUUGGCUGUACCAAAAUGGGCAUUAAAAAAACGUGGUGCACCAAGCACGUGCUGGAGAGCAUCCAGAGUAGCACAGGGAAACACUGGAAAUCUUCAGGGAUGAAAAAUGGAGAAUUGGGAAUGGGAUUGUAACGUGAUGUUUGAAGCAACCAACCCCAGGCAUUAUUUCCCCACUUUAGCUGCUCUCCCAUUACUGUACCUGUAGAAAUAACUCUAUUUUUGGGUUCUAUUUUUAUACUGACCCCAUGCUUUCCUGUGGGGUGAGAUGCUGCUUUGGUUUCUGAAAUUCUGGGGGGAAAAAAAGCAUGGAUACAUUCUAAAUUGUGUACAGUGUGUCAGUGAUUUUCCUCUGGGAAGUGAAAAUGCAGCAGGGAGAAGGUGAGAGGAGGGGAGGUGGGGGCUGUGGAGGCAGCACAUACAGAUUUUGUGUUUUCUCCCCAUGUGCUGGUGGUUUUCAGCAUUUUUGAAUAUUCCAGUUGAGUGCCAAGAGGGAAAAUGUGUUGCCUCCAGUUGGAGGGGUGUCCUCAGUCACAGACUCCAGCUGGAAUGAAGUCUCUGGGCUCAGCAGCCCCUGAGAAGCAGCAGAGAACACCCAGCUGGUGCUGUGCUGGAGUUCCAGGAGUUCUGUGCAUGGUUGGGAAAAUACACUUGGCCCCAAACCAUGCUGCCCAUCCCAGGUACAGGAAUAAUGUCCCAAAAACCUUUUGGCACUGGAUUCUCAUUGUUUCCUUCUCAUAAGUAAAGUCCUGGGGGUUGGCUUUGCUUUUAUUCCUCAUAGAAUCCCAGAGUGGUUUGGUUUGCAAGGGAGUUUGAGGAUCAUCCUAUUCCCGCCCCACUCUAUGUCAGGGACACCUUCCACUGUCCCAGCUGCUCCCAGCCCUGUCCAGCCUGGCCUUGGACACUUCCAGGGAUCCAGGGGCAGCCACCUCUGGACACCUGUGCCAGUGUAUCUGUGCCUUAGAGGAGUAUUUUAAUGAUUUUAUGAUCAGUAUUAACCUGAUUUCCCAAAGUGGCAGUUUGGAAAGCACCUCUUUUGAAGGCUCAGUGACAUUUGGGGAGCAGCAAGAACCUCAACAGGAACGAAAGAGGAACAAACCUCUGAGAACAAUAAAACUCCUUUGUUCUUUAACCAUCAUCCCUGGGGUAAAACGAAGAAAAAAAAC